CUUUCAGGGUCUUUUAGAAAAUUUCCUCUAUGUUUUUAUGGGAGAGCUUCCUGAAAUGAAUCUCUUCUGCCUAAGAAAGUGGAAUGUAAUAUUUCAGCUUAACUCAAUAUCCAAGACCAUCUGCCAAGGACUUCACUUUCUUCCUCUGCUGGAGGAUGUCAGUCUUUCUAGCAACUGAUUUGCAGCCGGCAAUUGUUCACCUUGGGCUGAGGACUAAAGUCCAAACGAAUCUGUUGACCUCAGCUGCAGCUGGUAAUUACUUCUUCGCUUGUUUGUUUCCUGUUGUGGAUUUCCAGCAUUCAAGUUGCACAGAUUCAAAAAUUUGGAAGGACAAAGGAAUAAGUAGUCACUCUUUGGAGAAAUGAACAAAUAGUUCCAAGUCAUCUGGGCUAAUCAAGCAGUCAC
Molecule: long non-coding RNA, 405 nt
Filed under: Equus caballus (horse)
Lineage: Eukaryota; Metazoa; Chordata; Mammalia; Perissodactyla; Equidae
Description: lncRNA (ENSECAG00000045099.1)
Source: RNAcentral